RNAcentral lists this ribosomal RNA (495 nucleotides) under uncultured bacterium. Its description in RNAcentral is "partial 16S ribosomal RNA". It matches the Rfam family "Bacterial small subunit ribosomal RNA", at positions 28 to 507 of the family's 1533-position model. The record is from RNAcentral.
GAUGAACGCUGGCGGCGUGCCUAAUACAUGCAAGUAGAACGCUGAAGGAGGAGCUUGCUCUUCUGGAUGAGUUGCGAACGGGUGAGUAACGCGUAGGUAACCUGCCUGGUAGCGGGGGAUAACUAUUGGAAACGAUAGCUAAUACCGCAUGACAACAGUUAUUGCAUGAUAACUGUUUAAAAGGGGCAACUGCUCCACUACCAGAUGGACCUGCGUUGUAUUAGCUAGUUGGUGAGGUAACGGCUCACCAAGGCGACGAUACAUAGCCGACCUGAGAGGGUGAUCGGCCACACUGGGACUGAGACACGGCCCAGACGCCUACGGGAGGCAGCAGUAGGGAAUCUUCGACAAUGGACGGAAGUCUGACCGAGCAACGCCGCGUGAGUGAAGAAGGGUUUCGGAUCGUAAAGCUCUGUUGUAAGAGAAGAACGAGUGUGAGAGUGGAAAGUUCACACUGUGACGGUAUCUUACCAGAAAGGGACGGCUAACUACGUG